ACGCGGUGAAUACGUUCCCGGGCCUUGUACACACCGCCCGUCAAACCAUGGGAGCCGGAGGUACCUGAAGUCCAUAACCGAAAGGAGUGGCCCAAGGUAAAUUCGGUGACUAGGGUU
This 117-nucleotide ribosomal RNA is filed under the name uncultured bacterium. RNAcentral's name for it is "partial 16S ribosomal RNA". It matches the Rfam family "Bacterial small subunit ribosomal RNA", at positions 1357 to 1482 of the family's 1533-position model. The record is from RNAcentral.